This 74-nucleotide transfer RNA is filed under the name Dallia pectoralis (Alaska blackfish). Its description in RNAcentral is "tRNA-OTHER". It matches the Rfam family "tRNA". Rfam says of the family: Transfer RNA (tRNA) molecules are approximately 80 nucleotides in length. Their secondary structure includes four short double-helical elements and three loops (D, anti-codon, and T loops). The record is from RNAcentral. Lineage: Eukaryota; Metazoa; Chordata; Actinopteri; Esociformes; Umbridae.
GACCGGUUAGCUUAGUUGGUCAGAGCGUCGUGCUAAUAACGCGAAGGUCGCGGGUUCGAUGCCCGUACUGGCCA